Molecule: ribosomal RNA, 440 nt
Filed under: uncultured bacterium
Lineage: Bacteria
Description: partial 16S ribosomal RNA
Rfam family: Bacterial small subunit ribosomal RNA
Source: RNAcentral
CCUACGGGUGGCAGCAGUGGGGGAUAUUGCACAAUGGGGGAAACCCUGAUCCAGCGACGCCGCGUGAGGGAAGACGGUUUUCGGAUUGUAAACCUCUGUCUUUGGGGACGAAUUGAGACGUUACCCAAGGAGGAAGCUCCGGCAAACUACGUGCCAGCAGCCGCGGGAAAAGGUAGGGGCCAAGGUUUUUCCGGAAUUCCUGGGUGUAAAGGGAGCGUAGGCGGGAUAGUAGGUUGAUGGUUAAUACUAUGGGCCCAACUGGGAGAUGCGAUGAAAACUGCAAUUCUUGAGUGAAGUAGAGGUAGGCGGAAUUCCUAGGGUAGCGGUGAAAUGCGUAGAUAUUAGGAGGAACACCAGUGGCGAAGGCGGCUUGCUGGGCUGUAACUGACGCUGAGGCUCGAAAGUGUGGGUAGCAAACAGGAUUAGAUACCCCGGUAGUC